Molecule: long non-coding RNA, 955 nt
Organism: Musa acuminata AAA Group (dessert banana)
Lineage: Eukaryota; Viridiplantae; Streptophyta; Magnoliopsida; Zingiberales; Musaceae
Exons: 2
Source: RefSeq, a predicted model, not a curated record
ACUUAUAUGGGCAUUGGUUACUUCCCCUUUGCUCAUAUUGGGUAGGGUUGCCGGUAAAAGCAGCAUAACUGAAUUCCAAGCUCCAUGCCAUACCAACAAGCACCCAAGAGAAAUUCCUGAUUUGGCAUGGUGUCGAGGAACCAACCUCAGAUGGCAAUGGCAGGAUUCCUUCCUUUUAGUGCCAUCUAUGUACAAGUAGAACUGUACUAUAUAUUUGCUAGAGUGUGGGGUCACAACAUAUAUACAAUAUAUAGUAUGCUUUUUAUUGUUUUCAUCAUUCUUAUAAUUGGCACAGCGUUCAUCACUGUUGCAUUGACAUAUUUCCAACUUGCAGCAGAGGAUCAUGGGUGGUGGUGGAGGGUACCGAAGAUGAUGUAGUGAAUUGGCUUCAUGGACAUGGUUUAUGGAAACUAGCGGAAGAACCAUACGAUCCCUUAUGGAUCAAAGGAGGAGGUCAUUGCAACCUAGAGUUAUAUCCAGACUACAUCCGUCACCUAUGCAAGUUUAUUCGGGAAAUGGAGAACCUCACGACUGCAACCCAGCUCAAGAAGAUUCGGCAAACUCUCAAACUCCCUGCCAAAGCUGCUGCAACCACCAGCACCACCAUCUUCACGACCAACUGUUGCUGCCAAAUUAGAUGCAGGAAACCCGAUUGCUGGAGCUGCCCACGGAGAGGAUGUCUGAUGGUGCGAUGCUCCAAGGGAUCUGCAUACCUGUGCAACUGGUGUUGUGGAGAUUGGCAUUGAUGGUGGCAUCCGUUGUACAGAUUUACUCAAACUUCUAAACCUAUCUAUUGUAUCGAAACAUUAAUGAAGGCAAUCGGGCUAUCGUUUGUGUACGAAUUAAGAGAAUAGAUACCGGUUUUUUUGAACUGAAUCUUCACUGAUGAUCUCUAUGCUGUUGAAAUAUCAAUUUGUUGGUAUUAUGUAGUCAUUGCCAAUUUGGCGUUGGUGUG